Molecule: transfer RNA, 86 nt
Filed under: Candidatus Gottesmanbacteria bacterium RIFCSPHIGHO2_01_FULL_43_15
Lineage: Bacteria; Candidatus Gottesmaniibacteriota
Also listed under: 2 other names
Description: tRNA-Leu
Rfam family: tRNA
About the family: Transfer RNA (tRNA) molecules are approximately 80 nucleotides in length. Their secondary structure includes four short double-helical elements and three loops (D, anti-codon, and T loops).
Source: RNAcentral
GCCGCAGUGGUGAAAUUGGCAGACACGCAGCGUUUAGGGCGCUGUGCCCCAAAGGCGUAGAGGUUCAAGUCCUCUCUGCGGCACCA